This 73-nucleotide transfer RNA is filed under the name Stegodyphus mimosarum. It matches the Rfam family "tRNA". Rfam says of the family: Transfer RNA (tRNA) molecules are approximately 80 nucleotides in length. Their secondary structure includes four short double-helical elements and three loops (D, anti-codon, and T loops). Further hydrogen bonds mediate the characteristic L-shaped molecular structure. tRNAs have two regions of fundamental functional importance: the anti-codon, which is responsible for specific mRNA codon recognition, and the 3' end, to which the tRNAs corresponding amino acid is attached (by aminoacyl-tRNA synthetases). tRNAs cope with the degeneracy of the genetic code in two manners: having more than one tRNA (with a specific anti-codon) for a particular amino acid; and 'wobble' base-pairing, i.e. permitting non-standard base-pairing at the 3rd anti-codon position. Lineage: Eukaryota; Metazoa; Arthropoda; Arachnida; Araneae; Eresidae. The record is from Rfam by way of RNAcentral.
GCCUUCUUAGUGUAGUGGUCAGCACACUCGGCUCGUAUUCAAGAGGUCCGUGGUUCGAAUCUCGGCGACGCCA